This 616-nucleotide ribosomal RNA is filed under the name uncultured bacterium. RNAcentral's name for it is "bacterial SSU rRNA". It matches the Rfam family "Bacterial small subunit ribosomal RNA", at positions 338 to 1414 of the family's 1533-position model. The record is from RNAcentral.
CCUACGGGAGGCAGCAGUAAGGAAUAUUGGUCAAUGGGCGCAAGCCUGAACCAGCCAUGCCGCGUGCAGGAAGACGGCCCUAUGGGUUGUAAACUGCUUUUGAACAAGAGAAAACCUCGGUACGUGUACCGAGCUGAUAGUAUUGUUAGAAUAAGCAUCGGCUAACUUCGUGCCAGCAGCCGCGGUAAGACGAAGGAUGCAAGCGUUAUCCGGAUUCAUUGGGUUUAAAGGGUGCGUAGGCGGACCGAUAAGUCAGUGGUGAAAUCUCUCAGCUUAACUGAGAAACUGCCAUUGAUACUGUCAGUCUAGAGUAUAGAUGAUGUGGGCGGAAUAUGACAUGUAGUGGUGAAAUACUUAGAUAUGUCAUAGAACACCGAUUGCGAAGGCAGCUCACAAAACUAUAACUGACGCUGAGGCACGAAAGUGCGGGGAUCAAACAGGAUUAGAUACCCUGGUAGUCCGCACCGUAAACGAUGAUUACUCGUUGUUGGCAAUAUGACCGUCAGCGACCAAGCGAAAGCGAUAAGAAUCCACCUGGGGAGUACGCCGGCAACGGUUGAAACUCAAAGAUAGUACGGACGAGNGAGAGCGACGACGACGACGACGAGGGAGGAGG